This 391-nucleotide ribosomal RNA is filed under the name uncultured bacterium. Its description in RNAcentral is "bacterial SSU rRNA". It matches the Rfam family "Bacterial small subunit ribosomal RNA", at positions 51 to 410 of the family's 1533-position model. The record is from RNAcentral.
ACACAUGCAAGUCGAACGGAAUAAUUUAGUGGAAGUUUUCGGAUGGAAGCUAGAAUAUUUAGUGGCGGACGGGUGAGUAACGCGUGGAUAACCUACCUACUAAACUGGGACAACACCGGGAAACUGGUGCUAAUACCGGAUAAUCUGCAUGAUCGCAUGAUUGUGUAGUAAAAGGAGGCCUCUAGAAAUAAGCUUUCGAUAGUAGAUGGAUCCGCGUCUGAUUAGCUAGUUGGUGAGGUAAAGGCUCACCAAGGCGACGAUCAGUAGCCGGCCUGAGAGGGUGAACGGCCACAUUGGGACUGAGACACGGCCCAAACUCCUACGGGAGGCAGCAGUGGGGAAUCUUGCGCAAUGGGCGAAAGCCUGACGCAGCCAUGCCGCGUGAAUGAUG